Long non-coding RNA from Symphalangus syndactylus (siamang), 609 nucleotides. RefSeq lists it as uncharacterized. The record is from RefSeq and is a predicted model, not a curated record. Lineage: Eukaryota; Metazoa; Chordata; Mammalia; Primates; Hylobatidae.
CAUGUUAGGCCAGGUCACACAGCAAUUCACUGACUUAGCUGGACCUAGAACUCAGUUCUAAGAAUUUAGUACAGGAUUCCAUUCACUGGAACUGUCAGACUUUCUUUAUGCCCUCUACUACUUAGAAACAGAUCCAAGUACUGGGGUAUAUUUAAAGGGUCUUGCUCUGUUGCCCUGGCUGGAGUGCAAUGAAGCAAACUCGGCUCAUAGCAGCCUCAACCUCCUGGAGUGAAGUGAUCCUCCCGCCUCAGCCUCGCAGUAGCUGGGACCACAGGCUGUGCCACCAAGCCCAGCUAAUUUUUUUAUUUUUUGUAGCAACAGCAUCCCGCUAUGUUGCCCAGGCUGGUCUCAAACUCCUGGUCUCAAGCAACCCUUCUGCCUAGGCUUCCCAAAAUGCUGAGAUUACAGGUGUAAGCCAUCCCUCCAGCCUUAAAUAUUUGUAAAUCCACAGACUAUCCCUGGAAGAAUAGAUAAGAAAUUUUUAAGAGUGAUUAUCUCUGCAAAGUUAUGACACUAGGGGCUAUUGGGUGGUAUACUCUGGCAACUUAAACUUUUUCUCAUCAAAAUGUAACAACUUAAAUACAUAAAAAUAAUGCAAUCUUUUCACAA